GCUUCGACCAUCUGCAACCCUGAACUGGAAUAAGCAGCUCCCUCUCAAAUGAUCCAGAUGGGGAAGCAGGAAGAAACAGAACUCAAAUGUGGCAAAAUGCUAACAACUGGUGAAUCUGGGUGAAGGUAUAUGGAGGCUCAUUAUUCUAUUCUUGCAACUUUUCUGAGAACUUGACGUUUUUCUAAGAAAUGAUUUUAAACAUUUUUAAAU
Symphalangus syndactylus (siamang) is the source of this 210-nucleotide long non-coding RNA. RefSeq lists it as uncharacterized. The record is from RefSeq and is a predicted model, not a curated record. Lineage: Eukaryota; Metazoa; Chordata; Mammalia; Primates; Hylobatidae.